GAAAUGCGAUAAGUAAUGUGAAUUGCAGAAUUCAGUGAAUCAUCGAAUCUUUGAACGCACCUUGCGCUCCUUGGUAUUCCUUGGAGCAUGCCUGUUUGAGUAUCAUGAAAUCUUCAAAGUAAAUCUUUUGUUAACUCAAUUGGUUUCUACUUUGGUAUUGGAGGUCUUUGCAGCUUCACACCUGCUCCUCUUUGUUCAUUAGCUGGAUCUCAGUGUUAUGCUUGGUUCCACUCGGCGUGAUAAGUUAUCUAUCGCUGAGGACACUGUAAAAGGUGGCCAAGGUAAAUGCAGAUGAACCGCUUCUAAUUGUCCAUUGACUUGGGCAAUACUUUUAUGAUCUGAUCUCAAAUCAGGUAGGACUACCCGCUGAACUUAAGC
This 378-nucleotide unclassified non-coding RNA is filed under the name plant metagenome. Its description in RNAcentral is "partial contains 5.8S ribosomal RNA, internal transcribed spacer 2, and large subunit ribosomal RNA". The stretch from base 1 to 105 matches the Rfam family "5.8S ribosomal RNA", at positions 50 to 154 of the family's 154-position model. The record is from RNAcentral.